RNAcentral lists this ribosomal RNA (253 nucleotides) under uncultured bacterium. RNAcentral describes it as "partial 16S ribosomal RNA". It matches the Rfam family "Bacterial small subunit ribosomal RNA", at positions 524 to 776 of the family's 1533-position model. The record is from RNAcentral.
AACGUAGGACGCGAGCGGUAUCCGGAGUUACUGGGCGUAAAGGGCGGGCAGGCGGCUGCUCAAGUCGGACGUGAAAGCUCCUGGCUCAACCGGGAGAGGCCGUUCGAAACUGGGGAGCUGGAGGGCAGUAGAGGGGCGUAGAAUUCCGGGAGGAGUGGUGAAAUGCGUAGAGAUCCGGAGGAAUACCAGAGGCGAAGGCGGCGCCCUGGGCUGCACCUGACGCUGAGCCGCGAAAGCAUGGGGAGCGAACGGG